UAACUAAAUUGUCAUCAUCCUUGGUACUAA
RNAcentral lists this small RNA (30 nucleotides) under Bombyx mori (domestic silkworm). RNAcentral describes it as "ovarian small RNA-18941". Lineage: Eukaryota; Metazoa; Arthropoda; Insecta; Lepidoptera; Bombycidae. The record is from RNAcentral.